Molecule: ribosomal RNA, 672 nt
Filed under: uncultured Variovorax sp.
Lineage: Bacteria; Pseudomonadati; Pseudomonadota; Betaproteobacteria; Burkholderiales; Comamonadaceae
Description: bacterial SSU rRNA
Rfam family: Bacterial small subunit ribosomal RNA
Source: RNAcentral
CAACCUGGUUNGUUGGGGUCUUUCACUGAUCUCAGUAACGANNCUNANGCGUGANGUUGGACCGGCCUGGGGAGUACGGCCGCAAGGUUGANACUCNAAGGAAUUGACGGGGACCCGCACAAGCGGUGGAUGAUGUGGUUUAAUUCGAUGCAACGCGAAAAACCUUACCCACCUUUGACAUGUACGGAAUCCUCCAGAGAUGGAGGAGUGCUCGAAAGAGAACCGUAACACAGGUGCUGCAUGGCUGUCGUCAGCUCGUGUCGUGAGAUGUUGGGUUAAGUCCCGCAACGAGCGCAACCCUUGUCAUUAGUUGCUACAUUUAGUUGGGCACUCUAAUGAGGCUGCCGGUGACAAACCGGAGGAAGGUGGGGAUGACGUCAAGUCCUCAUGGCCCUUAUAGGUGGGGCUACACACGUCAUACAAUGGCCGGUACAAAGGGCUGCCAACCCGCGAGGGGGAGCUAAUCCCAUAAAACCGGUCGUAGUCCGGAUCGCAGUCUGCAACUCGACUGCGUGAAGUCGGAAUCGCUAGUAAUCGUGGAUCAGCAUUGCCGCGGUGAAUACGUUCCCGGGCCUUGUACACACCGCCCGUCACACCAUGGGAGUUUGUUGCACCAGAAGCAGGUAGCCUAACCGACAAGGGGGGCGCCUUGUCCACGGUGUGGCCCGGAGU